GACUGGUCUCGUGCAAACAAUGUGGUCAUCUUUUGGAUUUACAACGCUGUCUCCAAAGACAUUCUCACCAGCAUUCUUUUGCCACCACUGUUAAGGAAAUUUGAGACGAAUCUUCGCCGGUAAUUGAUGUCGUUACAACAAGGAACCGAUUAUGUCAUCAUAUACUAAACAAAGCUCAAGUCUAUUUGGGAAGAGUUAUCCGGAUACAAACCACCAUUCUGUACGUGCGGAGGUUUGCAAAUCCUUCACCAAUACACAGAGACUGAGUACGUGAUGUCGUUCUUGAUGAGGCUUAACGAAUCUUUUUCCUAAAUUCAUGGACAGAUUCUGCUAUCAGAACUGCUACCCACUAUCGAUUUUUUUUUGUGAAAAAUGAUCAAAAUGGAGAAAAUUUAGUCAAUUGUGGGCAAAACUGACUUUGAUCAUGAGACUCUAGUCACAUUGGACAAUCUUGAGCCUUGAGCCACACAUACAAACUUAGAUAUGAGGUUAAGUCACAAAGACUUUUUCUCAGAGAAGUUAUAUCAGGGUUACAACGCUACACAAGGCCUGAGCCACAAAGAAAAUCCAUUUUAGAAGGAAAUAUUUGCAAUUGGAGUCACACGUUAACAGCUGAAACCAUCUUAGAAGAAAAUAUCUGCAACUGGAGUCACACUUUAUCAGUUGAAACCAUGCAUUGGAAAGUUCAUAAAAACAGAGUUGUUUGUUUUAAGUGACUUUUAGAUAGAUCUUAGAGAGAAACUUUUUAGAGAGUUUUUCAAACACUUUUGGGAGAUAAUGACUCUUCUUGUAUGAAUUUUUUUUAUCCUCUACGAGGAGCUAAAUCUCCUAUAAAGCAAAAAUAUAAUUCUUU
This 853-nucleotide small RNA is filed under the name Vigna angularis var. angularis. Its description in RNAcentral is "Non-protein coding transcript". The record is from RNAcentral. Lineage: Eukaryota; Viridiplantae; Streptophyta; Magnoliopsida; Fabales; Fabaceae.